GCUUUCGCCAUCCACUCUUUCAUUGCCCUUCCAGGAAACACUGCUGGGUGCCUAAAGACCGGCGCGCUUCUUACACUUGGCAAGAGAAGAUAACAGUAAUGCUACAGCUUGGGCUUUGAAAGAUUAAAAGCAACAUUUAUUCCUUACAGUAUUUUCAAACUUCUUCAAGUUAAUUUGAAAUCCAUUUUAGAGAAUGUUUAACUAGUAAUACUGAUUUAUUUUUUUUUAAUUUCGAAUAUAAUGUACUUGUUAUUUAAACCAAGUAAGAGAUAGAUUAAAGUAAGCGCAGUUCUUCAAAGUGCAUUAAAUGCUUUGAGCAGUCCUUUCCCUGUGCUGGAAGAAAUACCCCGUGCUUCUGGGACUGGUCUCUUUAUGAUAUCUCUGUAAAAGCCCUGGCAAGAAAAGAUCGUGUUUUGAGAGCAAUUUCCAAUUUUUCAGAAACUUUUUGUACCCCUCCCCCUUUCGGUGGCUGACCAACCUCACUGCUAGCCAAGUAGAGCACAAGACUCUCCCUUCCCCAGUUUGUGGGGCUGCUGAUAAAUUAUUCAUACCGCUAAUGAGGAUUGAGAAUUUUCAGGCAUUUUUAAAGGCUUGCAUCACUUCGUCAACAUUUCUUUCACACCUGCAUGCUUCAGGCAGUCAGGUGUUUAAAAUUACCGACACAGAGCUCUGCCCUUCUCCCCCUGAAAGUGCUUUGCUCAACAGUGGAGUCCUGUGGCUAUUUUGUCUGUUUGUCUGCGUGAGGUUUUUUUCUGUGCUAAUUAGCGUGAGGGGAAAGGGGACUCUGAGAGGACUGUGUUAAUUACCAAAAGGGAUCAUGUAUCUCAGCUUAUAUUAAUUUUGAAAUGACAAGACACAGGUGCACAUUUAGUGGCAGUGAAUGAAUGUUAGCAUUUAAAGGCCUUUUUUUUUCUUUUUUUCCUUCUUUUUUUUUUUUUUUUUCCCCCUCCAAUGGAUGGAUCUUCCUUUAGAGGGAGUUAUCAGAAGGAACAAUCUCAAAGUAAGGAAGCCCCUGCUGAAGCUAAGAGCUACAUGAUAUGAAAGGACUGAUUAUGUUUAUAUUAUGUGGUCUCCUGUGAAAAAAUCAAGCCUCCCAGCUAGUAGAGAAAGGUCACUGGAUCUGAGGAAACAACUGACUCAGUGUCUUAAUUCUGAAGGAAAUGAGUCCUUUGUAGAUGAGAGGGAUUUUCUGAUCUAGUUCAGAGAAAGGCAUAGAACUAUGAAAAUAAGUUUUUUAUGUAGGGUUGGAGAAUAAAGAGGAGAAUCAGAAAGACUAGGAAUGGGAAGGUAAAAAAAGUCUCCCAUAUAGGUUUUUUUUUUUUUUUUUCUACAUUUAAAUAUUCCACGGGUGACUGGAAGUGCUGUAUUAAUCUCCGUGCCUCCGUGCAUCAUCCGUAGCACCCUUAAAAAAACUUGGUGGAACGAGAGUGUCUGAAGAGGACAUUUGAAGCAGCAAAACUUGUCUCAAGGAAUAAAGGCAUCAGCACAGGAAGAGGACAGAUGGUGCAUGUUCCUGAAACUGAACCACGGCUCCAUGUUCCCAAAGAAAGUGAAUCCCACAAGGUAGAUGUGGUUUUAAAUGAACUGGGGACACUGACAGUUGAGAAAAGAAGGAAUGCCUCAGGUGAGUGAUUGUCCUGUGGGGUGUCAGACCUGGCCAUCCUUGGUCAAGUUGGCCAUGGGAAAUCUCUCCCCAGGAGGGAUGAGUUGCAGUGGUAUGAAGAGGAGCUGGUGGAGGAGCUCUCUCAGGCUUCCCGCAUUUGCACAAACUGCUUCAUGGUUAUGUUAUGUGCUGAUGCUGUCUUUCUGUUCAUUUCGUUUAAAGGUAGCUUUUAAAAGAAGAGCCUGGAGCAGUUUUGUGCUCACAGGAUGCUCUCUGCUCCUUGCAAUCCUGAGGCCUCAAAACCCACUUCACUUGCCUGGGGGUGCUGAGAUGCUGUACGACUGGCUUUCCUGGGCUGCACUCCAGCUGCGCAGUGUCUUGUGUUAAACUAAUUUAUUCUCUCCAAAGAGAUUACUGGCAUUUAAAUGGUUAUUAAUUAAGGAGAAUUUGUGUUUUUCUCACCUGAUUUUUUUUACAUGCUUGGAAAUAGCAUUUAUUCACGCAAGUUUCUGCUGAAAAACGACUUAUUAAUUCACCUCAGCCUGUGGCCAGCAGUCUUUUGAAGCAAAAGUGCAAGGACUGGUGUAGGUAAGUUACAUGUGUUGCACAGGGAAGAUGUUUUCCUGGCUCACACUGGUAGAGGAUGAUAUUCUCUGAACUGUGAGAGUUCCUAAACCUUCCAGAAGACUUCUGCUUGAUUUUCAAGCUUUAUUAUGCAUGGACUGAGCCUUUCAUACUUAGGUUUACUGGAUGGUAGACUACCAUAGAAAUACUUCCUCCCAUAUGUACAAGGAAGCUGGACUCAAGUAUUGCUCACUUUGGAAAAAUGCCCCUGCAAGUUCCUGAAUUUCUUUGGCACGCAUAACAGAGUGGACAGAAGCAUCUCAAUCUUCACGUGUGGUGGUGUUGGGCCAGGUACAGCCUGCCUACAUGGAUCAUGUCUCCAGAGACACUGCUUACUGCUUUGGGUAAAGCAGUGGCAGUGGAGAAGAAGCAUUUACCUGAAUAUCUGCAAAAUGCAAGCAGAAGGAAAGCUGUGGUUCAAGGUGCUGAAGAAAUGCCAAAGGACAAGCUAAUGCUGCAUGUUGCUAGCCACCUGCUGCAGGAUACUUCACCCAUUUGGAGAACCGUGCAUAGAACACUACCACCUUCAGUCAGCAGGAUGUGUCUGAUACGAGAGCUGCUACCUGCCACCUGAUGUGUCUCACCCUGGGAGACAGGACGAUGAAUAACAUUUCUACCCUGAAGUCAAAUCAUCUGCUUAGCAUCUUGCUCUGGAAGGACCCACAACUGCAGCUCUGGCACACAGAGAACAGGACGCCUAAAUGGGGAAUGCUGGUGCUCAUCCACUCCUGCUGCGUGAAUGAACACUGUGAGAAUUCCCUUGACACAGGAAAGUGUUGUGGACUUAUCCUCCUAAUUUUCUUGAGAAAGGAUGGAGUCUUUUGUAUAUUACAUAGAAAGAAUAACAGAAGUUCUUUGGAAAAACAAAAUAUAUGCUCUGCGAUUUCUGAAGUGAGAGUACACAGAGUUCAGGUAUGCCAAUUCCAUUUGCAUGUUUCUUUGGAAUGCUGAAAUGAAUACAGCAAAUGAAUAGUAAUGUCAAGACACUGCAAAAACAAAAAGCACUGAAAGAGAAUUCUCGUGGACUGAUGAACUGAGAGCUGAAAUGGGAGCAGCAGAUUUUACAGUGUGAGUGAUGCUAAUUUUUCAGCCUAACAACCAACCAUGCACUGAAGCCCUGCUACUUCUGAGCUGACAUCAUCCAGAUGAGAAAGCUUCUUUCUAGUAACUUAUCAGCCUGGAAAACCAGCCCUGCAGGGUAACACCCAACCCAUGCUUUAAAUGUCAAGGAGAAAAACAUCUUUGUAUUGCCGAGCAGUCACAGCAGCUUCACUUCUGAUUUGAUAGCCUUGGAUGGAAGCAGGUACCAGCAUGAUGAUUCAGAAACCCUUGAAGAUAUAGUCAUAUUUUCAGCAACAGAUGGAUUUAACACUGCAGAUGGAGUGUUAAGAGUGCAGUUGUCUGUGGACUCUGAGAACAUAUUUAAAACCAGAAUUCUCUCUGGAACAUUGACUCUCGCUUGAUGGUAUGAUAGACUUCUACUUUAGAUCUGGAUUCAGAAGUAGUGGAUCACGCUUUAAUGUUGGUCUGCCCUCAUCAUUUGGAAGAGAAAAAACAAACAUUCCUGUGCCUCAGCUCAUCAGUGUCUGCAGCUGACUCAAUCAGCUGUAGAACUGAAGGGAAGGAAACAUAAAUUGAUGUGAAGAAAAUGUUCUCCCUGAAGCUGCACAAGCAGCAAUGAUUGUCAAAAGCUGAUCUUUAUCCCUUCAAAGACCUGCAGAUGGGGUCACUGAUCACAUCGUCUCAUUCAUUGGUUGGACUUCUAUAUACAACGUUUGGAAUAAAGCACACACUUUUUUAAAGCUGAACUUUGAAGCCGAUCCCUCUGUAACGCUUGGUGGAACUGUCUAGCUUAGUUUGUACACUGUCACAUGAACAGAUGCUGACAUGCACCUGUAGUUGGUCUCCACUGGGAACCAUAUCAUGUAAAAGUAGCUGGACAAUUUAUGAACUCACUUCAUGAUAAAAGAAUAGGUUUUUAUGUAAAGAGCCUUCAGUGAAAAGCAUGUGCUUUGUGUGUCUAGUUUUUUGGUGGUUUUUUUUCUUUCUUUUUUUUUUUUU
RNAcentral lists this long non-coding RNA (4288 nucleotides) under Gallus gallus (chicken). RNAcentral's name for it is "lncRNA (ENSGALG00010027042.1)". Lineage: Eukaryota; Metazoa; Chordata; Aves; Galliformes; Phasianidae. The record is from RNAcentral.